RNAcentral lists this ribosomal RNA (297 nucleotides) under uncultured Acidovorax sp. Its description in RNAcentral is "partial 16S ribosomal RNA". It matches the Rfam family "Bacterial small subunit ribosomal RNA", at positions 58 to 359 of the family's 1533-position model. Lineage: Bacteria; Pseudomonadati; Pseudomonadota; Betaproteobacteria; Burkholderiales; Comamonadaceae. The record is from RNAcentral.
CAAGUCGAACGGUAACAGGUCUUCGGAUGCUGACGAGUGGCGAACGGGUGAGUAAUACAUCGGAACGUGCCCGAUCGUGGGGGAUAACGAAGCGAAAGCUUUGCUAAUACCGCAUAAGAUCUACGGAUGAAAGCAGGGGACCGCAAGGCCUUGCGCGAACGGAGCGGCCGAUGGCAGAUUAGGUAGUUGGUGGGAUAAAAGCUUACCAAGCCGACGAUCUGUAGCUGGUCUGAGAGGACGACCAGCCACACUGGGACUGAGACACGGCCCAGACUCCUACGGGAGGCAGCAGAAGGG